UACGUAGGCAGCAAGCGUUGUUCGGAAUUACUGGGCGUAAAGAGUGUGUAGGCGGUGCUCUAAGUUCGGUGUGAAAUCUCCCGGCUUAACUGGGAGGGUGCGCCGGAAACUGGAGUGCUUGAGCGCGGGAGAGGAAAGCGGAAUUCCUGGUGUAGCGGUGAAAUGCGUAGAUAUCUGGAGGAACACCGGUGGCGAAGGCGGCAUCCUGGACCAAUUCUGACGCUGAGGAGCGAAAGCCAGGGGAGCAAACGGG
RNAcentral lists this ribosomal RNA (253 nucleotides) under uncultured bacterium. Its description in RNAcentral is "partial 16S ribosomal RNA". It matches the Rfam family "Bacterial small subunit ribosomal RNA", at positions 524 to 776 of the family's 1533-position model. The record is from RNAcentral.